GAUGAACGCUGGCGGCGUGCCUAAUACAUGCAAGUCGAGCGAACGGACGAGAAUCUUGCUUCUCUGAUGUUAGCGGCGGACGUGUGAGUAACACGUUGAUCACCUACCUAUAAGACUGGGAUAACUUCGUGAAACCGGUGCUAAUACCGGAUAAUAUUUUGAACCGCAUGGUUCAAAAGUUAAAGACGGUCUUGCUGUCACUUCUAGCUGGAUCCGCGCUGCAUUAGCUAGUUGGUAAGGUAACGGCUUACCAAGGCAACGAUGCAUAGCCGACCUGAGAGGGUGAUCGGCCACACGGGAACUGAGACACGGUCCAGACGACUACGGGAGGCAGCAGUAGGGAAUCUGACGCAAUGGGCGAAAGCCUGACGGAGCAACGGCGAGUGAGUGAUGAAGGUGUUCGGAGAGUAAAACUCUGUUAUUAGGGAAGAACAUAUGUGUAAGGAACUGUGCACAACGUGACGGUACCUAAUCAGAAAGCCACGGCUAACUACGUG
Molecule: ribosomal RNA, 497 nt
Filed under: uncultured bacterium
Lineage: Bacteria
Description: partial 16S ribosomal RNA
Rfam family: Bacterial small subunit ribosomal RNA
Source: RNAcentral